Molecule: ribosomal RNA, 1492 nt
Filed under: uncultured Bordetella sp.
Lineage: Bacteria; Pseudomonadati; Pseudomonadota; Betaproteobacteria; Burkholderiales; Alcaligenaceae
Description: partial 16S-23S ribosomal RNA intergenic spacer
Rfam family: Bacterial small subunit ribosomal RNA
Source: RNAcentral
GGUUUGAUCCUGGCUCAGACUGAACGCUGGCGGGAUGCUUCGGCCACGCAAGCCGAACGGCAGCACGGACUUCGGUCUGGUGGCGAGUGGCGAACGGUGAGUAAUGUAUCGGAACGUGCCUAGUAGUGGGGAUAACUACGUGAAAGGGCUAAUACCGCAUAAUGGGCCCUUCGGGGAAAGCGGGGACCUUCGGGCCUCGCACUAUUAGAGCGGGGCUGAUAUCGGGAUUGAAGCAGCCAGGCAACGGCUCACCAAGGCGACGAUCCGUAGCUGGUUUGAGAGGACGACCAGCCACACUGGGACUGAGACACGGCCCAGACUCCUACGGGAGGCAGCAGUGGGGAAUUUUGGACAAUGGGGGAACUCCAUCCAGCUAUCUCGCGUAAAAGUAGUGAUGAAGGCCUUCGGGUUGUAAAGCACUUUUUGGCAGUGAAAGAAACGGCACGGGAUAAUACCCCGUGCAAUUGACGGUACCUGCAGAAUAAGCACCGCUAACUACGUGCCACAGCAGCCGCGGUAUAUGUAGGGGUAAGCGUUAAUCGGAAUUACUGGGCGUAAAGCGUGCGCAGGCGGUUCGGAAAGAAAGAUGUGAAAUCCCAGAGCUUAACUUUGGAACUGCAUUUUUAACUACUGAGCUAGAGUGUGUCAGGAGGGAGGUGGAAUUUCCGCGUGUAGCAGUGAAAUGCGUAGAUAUGCGGAGGAACACCGAUGGCGAAGGCAGCCUCUGGGAUAACACUGACGCUCAUGCACGAAAGCGUGGGAGCAAACAGGAUUAGAUGCUACCCUGGUAGUCCACGCCCUAAACGAUGUCAAAUUAGCUGUUGCCUUUCGGGCCUUGGUAGCGCAGCUAACGCGUGAAGUUGACCGCCUGGGGAGUACGGUCGCAAGAUUAAAACUCAAAGGAAUUGACGGGGAUCCCGCACAAGCGGUGGGAUUACGGAUUAAUUCGAUGCAACGCGAAAAACCUUACCUACUCCUUGACAUGUCUGGAAUCCCGAAGAGAUUUGGGAUGCCGCAGCAGAACAACCGGAACACAGGUGCUGCAUGAAGUUGUCGUCAGCUCGUGUCGUGAGAUGUUGGGUUAAGUCCCGCAACGAUGCAACCCUUGUCAUUAUUGCUACGAAAGGGCACUCUAUCGAGACUGCCGGUGAUAAAAACUGGAGGAAGGUGGGGAUGACGUCAAGUCCUCAUGGCCCUUAUGGGUAGGGCUUCUACACGUCAUACAAUGGUCGGGACAGAGGGUCGCCAACCCGCGAGGGGGGAGCCAAUCCCAGAAACCCGAUCGUAGUCCGGAUCGCAGUCUGCAACUCGACUGCGUGAAGUCGGAAUCGCUAGUAAUCGCGGAUCAGCAUGUCGCGGUGAAUACGUUCCCGGCCCUAGGCCCGCCCGGUCACACUGAUGGGAGUGGCUUAACAGAAGUAGUUAGCCUAACCGUAAGGAGGGCGAUUACCACGGUAGGAUUCAUGACUGGGGUGAAGUCGUAACAAGGUAG